RNAcentral lists this long non-coding RNA (5134 nucleotides) under Nicotiana benthamiana. RNAcentral's name for it is "long non-coding RNA (NBEN_LNC013471)". The record is from RNAcentral. Lineage: Eukaryota; Viridiplantae; Streptophyta; Magnoliopsida; Solanales; Solanaceae.
GUAACAUGAAAAUUCAACCAUUAAAGUUUCAGAUAACUGCGGGGUAGCAGAAAGUAUCCUCCUCGUAGAUUUAUAAGCUACUCUCCGGAUAUCCCAACAUGGAUGGCAUUGUAAAAAGAGUAUAAACUGUGAAAAAUUAAGUACCAGUUAGAAAUAAAAACAAAUUCAUAAAAGCAUAAUGACACCCAAUUAGAUAAACUGCCUCGCCAAUUAACCUGCAUUAAUGUCUUAACUUCAAAUGUCUCCAAUACCCUGCAGAAAAGGGACAUUCAACUUUGAUCAUGAUACUUCCUGGCAACACUAAAAAAAUAUACACAGAUAGCAAACUGAGAGUAGAAACCUUCUCAAAAGUAGGAUUCCUAUGUGCACCAUAAAACUAACCUUCGUGAAUGAUCUACCAGCAUCACCUCAAAAAGGUCAUGACAAGCCAAACAGUCCUCGGUUGAUAAUUUUGAGGCCUGGAAAGAGUAUAGAAGCAAGUUAAGAGAAACAAACAAACAACAACCCAGUAUAAUCCCACUUAGUGGGGUCUGGGAAGGGUAAUAUGUACGCAGACCUUACCCCUACCCAUGGGUAGAGAGACUGUUUCCAAAUAGACCCCCGGCAUCCUUCCCUCCAAGAACUUCCCAGCUUNNNNNNNNNNNNNNNNNNNNNNNNNNNNNNNNNNNNNNNNNNNNNNNNNNNNNNNNNNNNNNNNNAUCCUUCCCUCCAAGAACUUCCCACCGUGCUCUUGGGAAGACUGGAACUCACAACCUCUCGGUUGGAAGUGUGAGUUGCUUACCAUCAGAGCAACCCCUCUUGUCUCAAGCAAGUUAAGAGAAUCUUAAUGAAAUCAGAACACAAACUUAAGGAUUUCACAUGCAUCUGGUAUCAAUAUAUAGGUCCUCCUAAGAAGGCAUCCCAAGAAGAGCAAAAGUAAGAAAGAAGGCCGUUGAAAUUUGAAGAGAUGAAGCCUUGGAAAAGAGCAUCAACUUCAAAGCCGAAAGUUUUACUUCAUUAGUUGAUUGGACUAAAAGAAUGCCAUGAGAAAUUGCAUAUUUACUAACAAUGCAGACAACCUCAUAUUAAAUGGGCAACAGAGAGAAUAUCAUCUUAUUCUUCUCGUGUGCCAGCUGAGAAAAUAAUCAAUCAAGAUGACCACAAAUAGCUCAGAAUAUUCACCAGAGGAAUUGGCACAACUGACGGCUCGUUCUGUGAUACCAAUGACCAAAUUUUCUCCUUUAUUAUAGUCUCAUCUAACAACAGCAGCAAAGGCAAAUUAGAAUGUGUAAUAAACAAAUAUUCAUAUGAAAAGAAAUUACUGAAUAGUAUCACAGAACCCAAAAUCUAGGUCAGUAACCAUUUCUUUCUUAUCAAUAGGUCAUUAACCAUUAUUCAUGCACCACAAAAGUGAAAAGUCCUAAUACACCUGCUUUAACAUCCACUGCAGCAAGUUUAGCCACACAGAGCAAUGCAUAAAUUCCAUCCAACCGUUGUGCUGCUUUUGUGUAACCAGAUUUAACAAGUUGUAUAAGAGUUGCCAGCAGAGAGGACAUCUGUGGAAGAGCAUCAGCAUUUUGGCACAUUGCUCGCAGGCAGCGAAGAUGACCUCUUCUAAGUGCUUCCUUCUCUUUGAGCCCUGAUGCAAUGAGAGAUAUGACAUCCGGCUGAAUAGCAUCAGCACAUCGUGUGGUCCAAGCAGCCAGACAAGAUAAACAUGCAAGCUUGGCCUCUUCAUUACCUGGAUAAGCAUAAAGAAUACAACACAGAUCUGUAAGCUAAAGAAGACAUUGCGGAAAAAGGAAUUGUACAAGAGAAGCUAGGCACACACAUCAACGAGAUAAAGAUUCCAAAACGUACCAUCAUCCUUGUAACAGGACAGAAGGAAAUUACAAAUAGUCUUUGACAAGCUGUUAAGGUGUUUUCCUUCUGGGGCAUUUGAUAAUUCUUGCAGUGCAUUUAUCAUGCCAACUCUCUGAUAGGGAAAUGUAAGCCUUCCUUCCGAACCUGUCAAUAUUCCAGAUCCAGUAAAUUGCUAGCUAAUUAGUGUGCAUUUAUCAUGCCAACUCUCUGAUAAGGAAAUGUAAGCCUUCCUUCCGAACCUGUCAAUAUUCCAGAUCCAGUAAAUUGCUAGCUAAUUAGUAAAGCGCCAUAUUAAUAAGUCGAAAACAUAUAAAGUCAGAAGCACAAACCUCCAAUAACCAAUCUGACUGCAUUAAACAUCGCUUCUAUAGCAUCUGGACUGCUAGAUUUUAUGCUUAAACACCUUACGAUGGAUAACGCAGCAAUCCUUCUAGCUUCAUCUGCAUGUCUCACCUGUGUCAAUAAAACUGAAAGAAUCUCUACGGCAUAUUUACUCAAGUCGAGUUUCGAAGAUCGCAAAAGGAUUCCAACUGAUUCCAAGACAAGCUCCGGAUUUCGUUUCAACAUCUUGACAGAUGAGGGAAUGACAGUGUUCUUAAAAUCAUCAUGUGUCAACCGAGAAAAUAAUGGAAUGAAAGCAUCACUGAGGCCCUUUGGUGGUUUUUCUCUUGCAUUUAGAACAGCUUUAACAUACAUCUCAAGAAAAUUUUGCUGCAAGACAAAAACAACAAUAUGUAAAGAUAAAGCAUAGAGGCAUAGGAGGAUCCUAACAUCUUUGGCUUCACGUGCCAUAACUUUUACAUCACAAGAGGCAUCAUAGCUGCUUGAAAACCAGUUCAUACCUUCCAUUGAUCAAAUGAAGGUGGAUUUGCACUUGAAAAUUCUAGCAUCAAGAGUAUAAGCUCAGGACAAUCCUUGUAAGUGAUCCUUGAAUCCCUUAGUUCCUCCAUGAAAGUUCUGUAAAUAUCUGGUGCCUGAAAAAGAAACACGUUAUAAUGAAACUUAGGACCUCUAAAACCAUGCUUCAAUCAAGACCUGCAGAUUAAUCAAACGAGAUGUAACCUUUGAAAACAAAAAGAAUAAGCUUUUUUUGCAGGUCCUUCUGACAUGGGCCGAUCCUUGCAUGCCAAUAUGCAAGACUGAUGCUUGUGCUUGCGCUAGUCGACAAACUGCGUUCUUUGAUACAGAGGCAAACUGGCUAUUAGUUAGGAGAAGACAAGACCAACUUAAGAGUCUGUGGCACCCUAUAUAGGAUUGGAAGUUGAACUGUUUUUCCAUGAAUUGUACAAGGGUUCCAGCAAAAGCUUUCAUAAAAGCAAUUUCACCCAAUGCUUUGAUAAUCACAUCAUCCACUGCAGCCCUUGAUCCUCGAUCAUCAUAAAUAAAUACUGUUUUGAAAACUACUUCUACCAACAGGGAAGCAAUUUCAGUUGUCAUCUCUGUAGAAUUCAAAGCCAACAGUGAGCUUAACAUAAAAAUUACAUCCUGAAAUUAGAAAGAGUAAAUAUUUAUUCACUUUAUAAUAAGAAUACUUCACCAAAAGAACUUAUAGAAAUGCACCACAAAAGAGUGUUUACCCCCUACCCAUUCAAAAACAAACAUGUUUACAACUUCCAUCAAAUUUAUAAUAGGAAUACUUCACCAAAAGAACUUAUAGAAAUGCACCACAAAAGAAUGUUUACCCGCUACCCAUUCAAAAACAAAAACGUUUACAACUUCUAUCAAGAGUCGGAUAUGUCACAUAAGCAACAUUGCACUAACUCUACCAUGUCCAUAUGUCAACCCUGUGCAAUCAAUAGUUAUUACCAACAAUUCGCUUGUAGAGGAGUGGCCUAACAACCUUUAUACCCAUUUCUCCUAAUGGUAGAGGAAAGACAUAUAUUACCAGCACUCAUGUGAUUUUAUUCACUAAUUUGAACAUGUAUGAGAGGGAAUUGAAAAUGCAAACAUAAUGAAUAAAACAAAAAGACAGAUUACUCUAUCAGCCCAACCCCCACCCCCCAACCAAAUGAAGGUUACUAAGAUAACGUUAAACGAGGUAAAGUAAACAAUUCUAUCCUACAGCAAAUUGUCUGAUUUUCCAUUGUAGAGUCUCUCGUUUCCUAUCCUGUAAUGGUUGCUCGUUUAUCAUGCUAUCAUAAGAUACAUUGGCAUAACCAUCCCCUGAUUCAUUGAGUAACUUUUUUUUUUCUGAUUCGCUCAGUAACUCUUUGUUAAACUAAUAAGAGUUGUAUCGUCUAACUUCAUUCAAAAAUGAAAUUUGAAUGUCUAUAGAAUCAAAUUUCAAAAUCAUUUCUAUUUGAUCAUUCCAUUCUUUCUACAGCUGAGGGUAUAUCGAAAACAACCUCUCUACCCUUCCCAGGGUAGGGGUAAGGCUGCAUAGAUCUUACCCAACCCUCAGGGUGGGCCUGGUGGCAAUUGACUUGAGCCUUGGAGUUUGUUACCUUUCAAGGUCUCAAGUUCGAAAUCCACGUGCAAAAAUUUUUAGGGCCAUCGGGCUGGGUCAAACCUGAAUUAACCGUGGUGCACUUGCGAAAAACUCCUUGCCAAGGGCCUGGCCACCCCCGGGAUUAGUCGGGGCUCUAAUAGACUCGGACACCCGGUACAAAUCAAAAAAACUUGCAUCCAUCUUACCCUUCCCAACCCCCACCUGUGGCAAAUCACUGGGUUAUUGUUGUUGUUGUUGUAUCUCUAUUUGAUCAUUGUUUAGAUUAUGCUGAAUUACAAUGUAGGUGCUGCAGUGAGUCAUCUAGAUGUCGGAAGUUUAAAGACUUGAUUGAGGAAUGCAAUAUCAUCCGACAAAAGCCCCGGCAGGACUUGCUCAAAUAAUGAUUCAGUUACAAUUCAAUUCUAUGUGGAGAUCUUAACAAUGCAUAACAUGGAAUGGAUGUGAAAACAGAAAUGUUAGUUUUCUCAAGCUUUCCCCUCUUCUAUAACACCUGUAAGUUAAAGAUGUUUCAAAUGUCACAUUGAAGGCUAAAGGGAACACUAUUUACUUAAAAUCUGCAAUACAAUGGUAACAUAACCAUAUCCCAUACUACUUACUGCAUUAAGCUUCCAUGGUCUAUUUUCCAAAUGUCUCAACCCAAAUCUAACGUAAAAGAGAAUGCUAUGACCCUUCCAUCUAAAUAAAUAAGAGCAAAUAAUUAACCAGGAUGAGCAAAUAACCAAUCAAACCAUCAAAUAUACGCACCAAGCUGGCAUUGGUGUCCCUUUUUUCAUCAAUAAUCUCAAUUUUAAUUAAGAGCCCUUUUGGACAUAAGAAUAUUUCACUUUUUUCGAAAUUAGCGUU